AACGAACGCUGGCGGCGCGUCUUAAGCAUGCAAGUCGAACGGCAAGAUUGGUGCUUGCACCGAUCCUAGAGUGGCGGACUGGUGAGUAACGCGUGGGUGACGUACCCUAAGGAUGGGGGAUAGCUGGUAGAAAUAUCAGAUAAUACCGAAUAUCCUUAUUGUUGUUAGAGGACAGUAAGGAAAGGAGCUUUGGCUUCGCCUAAGGAUCGGCCCGCGUACUAUUAGCUAGUUGGUGAGGUAACGGCUCACCAAGGCGACGAUAGUUAUCCGGCCUAAGAGGGUGAACGGACACAUUGGGACUGAGAUACGGCCCAGACUCCUACGGGAGGCAGCAGUGGGGAAUAUUGGGCAAUGGGGGAAACCCUGACCCAGCAACGCCGCGUGAAGGAAGAAGGCCUUCGGUUGUAAACUUCUUUUACCAGGGACGAACGACAAUGACGGUACCUGGAGAAAAA
Molecule: ribosomal RNA, 455 nt
Filed under: uncultured bacterium
Lineage: Bacteria
Description: bacterial SSU rRNA
Rfam family: Bacterial small subunit ribosomal RNA
Source: RNAcentral